Molecule: ribosomal RNA, 253 nt
Filed under: uncultured bacterium
Lineage: Bacteria
Description: partial 16S ribosomal RNA
Rfam family: Bacterial small subunit ribosomal RNA
Source: RNAcentral
CACGUAGGGGGCAAGCGUUGUCCGGAAUCAUUGGGCGUAAAGAGUUCGUAGGCGGCUGAUCGCGUCGGUUGUGAAAGCUCAGGGCUCAACCCUGAGACGCCAAUCGAUACGGAUCGGCUAGAGGUAGGUAGGGGAAAGUGGAAUUCCUGGUGUAGCGGUGAAAUGCGCAGAUAUCAGGAGGAACACCGGUGGCGAAGGCGGGUCUCUGGGCCGAUACUGACGCUGAGGAGCGAAAGCGUGGGGAGCGAACAGG